Molecule: long non-coding RNA, 9919 nt
Filed under: Nicotiana benthamiana
Lineage: Eukaryota; Viridiplantae; Streptophyta; Magnoliopsida; Solanales; Solanaceae
Description: long non-coding RNA (NBEN_LNC016814)
Source: RNAcentral
UUGCGAGUCAUCUCGGAAAAUGCAUCUCACCUAAGUCUGUGAUCAACCAUGCUGCUACGCCUACUAAGCCAUUAGAGAUGCAUAUGCCUGUGCAAAAAAAUGCACAGCAAGUAUAGCAUGAGUAAGAAAACAACGUGUACUCAGCAAGUAUCCCGUCUAAUCUCAAAAAAGUAGACACAAAAGGUCAAAUUCGACACUUGCUCAAUAAUAAUAUACCAACAAUGUAGUGAAUCAAGAAUAUUCAUAAAAUGAUUGUAACUUAAUAGCAUGAGCCAAAUAAAUAGUUCUUUUAUUAAUAUGAAAUUUCUAGAUUCAAUCUCAUCAUUUAAGCAUUUAUCUUAGGUCAAGGAGGACAAUUAUCAACAUCUAUAAUCUCAAGGCAAGCAAUACAAGCAUGCGCAAUGUGGAGGAUAUACGACCCGAUCCAAUAGUAUAUAAAUUUGGCACUGUCAGAGGGCUGAAUGGAGCAAACCAUAGAAGUAUUUAUUUAUUCUACCAAGUUAUUUGGCCCGUUCCGAAAUUAAACACACGCAGACAGUCAAUCAAGAAGUCAACAAGGAACAAUAAUCCAAACAAAAGUCAAUUCUCUUUUAAAUAUUUUAGAAAAUGAAGUCAACCUUUUUAGAAAUUCAUUUACUAAUUUGAUGUGAUUUAAGCAAAUCAAACUGUCAAUAAGAUUUCAAAUAUUCCAAGUAUAGCAUGAUUUUGGGUCCUAGACUACCUGGACUUAAAUAUAAUAGUAGCUACGCACGGACGCUCGUCACCUCGUGCGUACGUAGCCCCCACAAAUAGAAGCACAUAAUCAAUUAUUUAAAAUAUGGGGACAAUUUCCUCUUACAAGGUUAGAAAGGAGACGCACCUCGCUCUGAAGAUCCAUAACCGGCAUUCCACGCCCUUCAGAAGACCCGAAUCGAUGCAAAAGGCAGCAAAACUAGCCAAUAAUUAUGCAAAUCCAUUAAUAUAGGUUCAAUUAUUCAUUAAAAUACAAUUUAUAACAAUUCCUAACCCCGAUCGAAAAGUUGACAAAAUUACCCUCAAGCCCACAUGCUUGGAUUCCUAAAUUUUUUGAAGAUAAAGUUUAUCAUGAACUCACGAACUCAAUUAUAUGAUUUACUCUUAAUUUCAUAGCCAAAAACGGGGUCAAAUUUAUAGAAUAUCGAUUUUCUAGGUUUUCCCUCAAACCCCAAGUUUCUACCAAUUUCAUGCUCAAAUCCGUACAUAAUCAAUGUAUUUAACUCAAGAAACGUGGGAUAGCUUACCUUAUCGUUGAUGAUGAAAACCCUCUCUUGAAACCCUCCAAGAAUCACCUAAGCUAAGAGAAAAAAUGAGAGAAAAUGGCUAAUUCCUGAUUUUUGAAACACUCACUACCUCCAGUCAUUUCGCACCUGUUGUCUAUUGACCGCUUCUACGGUCCCGCAGGUGCGGACCAAUUGCCGCUUAUGCGGUCUUCCCCCAAGCCUUAAACUUCCACAUCUGCGCUUCUCCUUCCACAAGUGCGGUUCCAAAUCUGCAGCCAAAAUGACCUCAUCUGCGGUCCCAACCUGUCCACCCAUUUCCAUUUAUGCGGCAUGAAAGCCACUUAUGCGGCUCCGCACCUACGACUCUAGUUUUGCAAGUGCGGUUACACCAACAACUUCAGCCUUCUCCAAAAUUUCAUUUUCCAUCUGUUAACUAUCUAGAAUCCACCCGAGGCCCUCGGGACCCCAACCAAUCCCAAAACACAAUACGCACUUCGAGGCCUCAAAUCACAUCAACGAACGCUAAAAUCAUGAAUCGACCUCCCAUCCAAGCUUAAUGAACUUCAUAAUUUCAUACGUCAAAAUCUGAUGCCGAAAUCAAUCAAAUCACUUCCGAUUGACCUCAAAUUUUGCACACAAGUCAUAUUUGCCGUUACAGAUCUAGUCCAACUUCUGAAAUCAAAUUUCCACCCCAGUAUCAAAAGUCCACUUCCGGUCAAACUUCUCAAAAACCUUCGAACUUCUAUCUUUAGCCAAAUGGCUCAAAUAUGAACCACGGACCUCUAUAUUCACUUUUGAUCGCGCUCCUAACACUACAAUCACCAUACGGAGCCAUUCCCAAGUUCAAAAUCCCAAACAGACAUUGAUAACACUUAAAUGUACUUCAACCCAAACUUAUGAAAUUCUUCCAAAAAUGCUAACUUCCACAAUAGGUGCCGAAACGUUUCCGGUCUUCCAAAACUCGAUCCAGACAUAUGCCCAAGUCUGAAAUCCUCAUACGAACCUGCUGGAACCUUCGAAUUCCAAUUUCGAGGUUGCUUACUCAAAAAUCUCAUAUUAGUUAAUUCUUUCACCUUAAAGCUUCCGAAAUGAGAAUUCUUUUUCUAAAUCAACUUUGAAUUUCCCAAAAUUCAAUUUCGACCAUGCCUAGAAAUCAUAGUACCUGAAGUGAAGCUACUCAAGGACUCAAACUGCUAAACGACGUGCUAGAUCUCAAAACGACCGAUCGGGCCAAUCAUAGCAGAUCUUAAUUGACCAAAAGACCAAACAAAUAAAACGUAAGAGUCAAUAGUUAUUGGUUAAGGAGAGGACGGUAGAGAUCUUUUAUUGAUGAGGUCGAUUUGGUCUGCCUCUCCAUGGAGAGGUUCAGAGCCUUACAAUGAUAUAUAUUCUCUUCUUUUAGAAGUCGGGAUGAAGAAGAAGAAGCAGUCCCCCUUUUAGGAUUCUUUCUCUUAGUAUUCAUAGCUGUGAACCUUGCCAGCUGGCGCUGGGAGGCCGUGGCCUUCAUGAGGGCAGAUAGGUUAUAACCUUGCUGAUCCAAUCGGUUAACCAUCGGGUAACCUUAUUGACAAAUGGUCGUACCAUUUGUUAAUCAUAAGUGGAUUUUAAAACGGGUUGGUUCCGUUAAUUAUCGUGGAGUCAAGUUUUGACCCAUACAUUUAGUCCCCCCUGCUUAUUGAGGUCGGGAUCCGACCGAGCUCGAUGAGCGGACUUUGCCGAGUAUAGUUCAAGAAAUUCGGAGGGGAAGAUCGAACGUCGUUUUGGUCGUGACCUAGGAUGGCCGUGGUCGUUUAUAUUUGGAGAUUAUAAUAUCGAAAUCGAUGGCCUUAGCCAUUUUGUGUUGACGGUCCAUUUUGUUCGUGACCUAGGAUGGCCAUGGUCAUUUAUACAUUGGAGAUUAUAAUGUCGAAAUCGAUGGCUUAGCCAUUUUGCGCUGACGAUCUUGGCUGUAGUGGAGUCAAUGGUCCGGGCGGUAUUCGAAUUUGAUGACCCCAGUUGCACUUUGACGAGAGCCCCCACUGUUUACAUAUGGGGGAUGGCCACAGUAGUAUAUACUUUGAAAAUGGCCGUAGCCAUUUUUAUUUUGAAGAUGGCCGUAGCCAUUUAUACUUUGGAGAUGGACGUAGCCAUUUAUACUUUUGAAGAGGGUCGUAUCCAUUUAUAUUUUGGAGAUGGCCGUAGCAUUUAUACUUUGAAGAUGGCCAUAGCCAUUUAUACUUUUGAAGAUAGCCGUAGCCGUUUAUAUUUUUAAGAUGGUCAUACCAUUUUAUUUUGGAGAUGGCCGUAUCCAUUUAUACUUUGAGGAUGGCCUUAGCCAUUUUUACCUUGAAGGUGGCCGUAGCCAUUUAUACUUUGGAGAUGGUCGUAGCCAUUUUUACCUUGAAGGUGGCCGUAGCCAUUUAUACUUUGGAGAUGGCCGUAGCCAUUUGAAGAUGACCGUAGCCAUUUGAAGAUGGCCAUAGCCAUUUGAAGAUGGUCGUAGCCAUUUAUACUUUUGAAGAUCGUCGUGUCCAUUUAUAAUUUUUAAGAUGGCCGUAACCGUUUAUAUUUUGGAGAUGGUCGUAGCCAUUUAUACUUUGAAUAUGGCCGUAGCCAUUUUUACCUUGAAGGUGGCCGUAGCCAUUUCUACUUCGGAGAUGGCCAUAGCCAUUUUUACCUUGAAGGUGGCUGUAGCCAUUUAUACUUUAAAGAUGGCCGUAGCCAUUUUUAUUUUGAAGGUGUCCGUAGCCAUUUACACUUUGGAGAUGGCCGUAGCCAUUUAUACUUUUGAAGAUGGCCAUAGCCGUUAAUAUUUUGGAUAUGGCCAUAGCCAUUUAUACUUUGAAGAUGGUCGUAUCCAUUUUUACCUUGAAGGUGGUCGUAGCCAUUUAUACUUUCGAGAUGGUCGUAGCCAUUUUUACCUUGAAGGUGGCCGUAGCCAUUUAUACUUUGAAGAUGGCCGUAGCCAUUUUUAUUUUGAAGUUGGCCGUAGCCAUUUAUACUUUGGAGAUGGCCGUAGCCAUUUAUACUUUUGAAGAUGGCCAUAGCCUUUUAUAUUUUGAAGAUGGCCGUAGCCAUUUAUACUUUGAAGAUGGCCGUAGCCAUUUUUACCUUGAAGGUGGUCGUAGCCAUUUAUACUUUUGAAGAGCCUUUUGUAUUUUGAAGAUGGCCGUAGCCAUUUAUACUUUGAAGAUGGCCGUAGCCAUUUUUACCUUGAAGGUGGUCGUAGCCAUUUAUACUUUGGAGAUGGCCGUAGCCAUUUUUAUUUGGAAUAUGGUCGUAGCCAUUUAUACUUUGGAGAUGGCCGUAGCCAUUUAUACUUUUGAAGAUGGCUGUAUCCAUUUAUAUUUUGGAGAUGGUUGAAGCCAUUUAUACUUUGAAUAUGGUCGUAGCCAUUUUUACCCUGAAGGUGGUCGUAGCCGUUUAUACUUUGGAGAUUGCCGUAGCCAUUUUUACCUUGAAGGUGGCCGUAGCCAUUUAUACUUUGAAGAUGGCUGUAGCCAUUUUUAUUUUGAAGGUGGCCGUAGACAUUCAUAAUUUGGAGAUGGCCGUAGCCAUUUAUACUUUUGAAGAUGGUCGUAGUCGUUUAUAUUUUGGGGAUGGCCAUAGCCAUUUAUACUUUGAAGAUGGGCAUAGCCAUUUUUACCUUGAAGGUGGCCGUAGCCAUUUACACUUUGGAGAUGGUCGUAGCCAUAUUAACCUUGAAGGUGGCGUAGCCAUUUAUACUUUGAAGAUGUUCAUAACCAUUUUUAUGUUUGAAGAUGGUCGUAGCUAUUUUACCUUGAAGGCGGCCGCAACCUUUUUCAACAGAAACUGUAUCUUCAUGUCAACGGCCUUUGGCCUCGUAAGGUGUUAACCUUAUUUUCGGUAGUCGAGUUGUAUGCCAUACAUUCGAAAAGAGUAUGGGUGCGUCCGGCGCGUAGCUUGGCGGCGUCUAAAGAUUGAAGGCGUAUGGAACACCCUUUCAAUAAUCUCAGGUCGUUAUAGCUGUUUCAAAGGCAAAGCGUCAGCUGGCGGUUGAAAAUCCAUUUCGUGGUGCUUGUCAUAGUGGUGCACGUUUCUGUAGGAUUGAACUGCAAAGGGGUUUUGCCUUAGAGUUUUUCUGGCAGGUGUGAUAGACCCUUUAUGACUUUUGUCGCGGCAACAUCGAUGGCCUUGACCAUGAUGACAUUGAUGCCCUUGGCCAGGUAAAUGACUUCGACUGUUGUCGGGUCGUUUACUUGCCUUAGUUAAAACCUAGGUAGGUUGUUAGCAUCGAUGGCCUUAGCCAAAAUUACACGCUUUUUGCUUUAUCGUUUUCCUUUUCUUGGUAUGAGCAAGUUGUAGCCAUUAUUUGGCGAGGGCGGCAUAUAGCCUUAACAGCAUAUAGCCUCAGUCCCAGUUCGGGCGUGGUUGAACUGUUGAUUGUGGCCUUGUAAUUCGACCGAGGCCGAACUUUUGCAUCCUGAAUCAUAGUUCAAGUUAGGCAUACUUACUUGAAUGGCGAGGGUUCUUAACUCAUUCCUUCGUUAAUUGAGGAAUAGGCCUUGUUGCGUCCAAUACUGGGGGCGCUUGGCCUAAGUCUUAGUUCAAACAGGGUUGAACUCAUUAGCUUUCAGGGCGAGGGUGUUCAGCCUUGCUGUUUGAGCGAGAUUGGGCUCGUGAUGGCGAAUGCGUGUUGCCUGAGUCCCAGUUCAACCUGUAGUUGAACUUUCGGACGAGGGAACGUAGCAUGAGUCAUUGUUAAACCUUAGUUGAGUCUUGGAAUUCUUGAUGGCGAAGACAAAUGGCCUGAGUCCCAGUUCAACUCUUAGUUGAACUUUUUGGGCAAGGACACGUAGCCUGAGUCGUUUUUCUACCGUAGUUGAGUCUUGGCAUUCUUGAUGGCGAAGACACAUGGCCUGAGUCCUAGUUCAACUCUUAGUUGAAAUUUUUGGGCGAGGGCACGUAGCCUGAGUUGUUGUUCAACCGUAGUUGAAUCUUGCAAUUUCUGAUGGCGAAGGCACAUAGCCUGAGUCCCAGUUCAACUCUAGAUUAAACGUAUUGGGCGAAGGAACGUAGCCUGAGUCGUUGUUCAACCAUAGUUGAAUCUUGCCAUUAAUGAUGGCAAAGGCACAUAGCCUAAGUUGUUGUUCGACCGUAGUUGAAUCUUGCCAUUCUUGAUGGCGAAGGCACAUAGCCUGAGUCCCAGUUCAACUCUUAGUUGAACGUUUUGGGCGAAGGCACGUAGCCUGAGUUGUUGUUCAACCGUACUUGAAUCUUGCAAUUUCUAAUGGCGAAGGCACAUGGCCUGAGUCCCAGUUCAACUCUUGGUUGAACUUUUUGGGUGAGGCACAUAGCCUGAGUCAUUGUUCAACCAUAGUUGAAUCUUGCCAUUACUGAUGGUGAAGACACAUAGACUGAGUUGUUGUUCAUCCGUAGUUGAAUUUUGCAAUUUUUGAUGGCGAAGGCACAUAGCCUGAGUCCCAGUUCAACUCAUAGUUGAAUUCUUGGGCAAAGGCACAUAGCCUGAGUAAGGCACGUAGCCUGAGUAAGGCACAUAGCCUGAGUAAUUGUUCAGCCGUAGUUGAACCUUUGUCAUUUUUGUUGUCGAACACAUAGCCUGAGUAAUCGUAGUUGAAUCUUGCAAUUUCUGAUGGUGAAGGCACAUGGCCUGAGUCCCAGUUGAGCUCUUGGUUGAAAUUUUUGGGCGAAGGCACAUAGCUUGAGUCGUUGUUCAACCAUAGUUGAAUCUUGCCAUUAUUGAUGGCGAACGCACAUAGCCUGAGUUGUUGUUCGACCGUAGUUGAAUUUUGCAAUUCUUGAUGGCGAAGGCAAAUAGCCUGAGUCCCAGUUCAACUCAUAGUUGAAUUCUUGGGCGAAGGCACAAAGCCUGAGUAAGGCACAUAGCUUGAUUAAGGCACAUAGCUUGAGUAAGGCACGUAGCCUGGGUGAGGCACGUAGCCUGGGUGAGGCACAUAGCCUAAGUAAGGCAUGUAGCCUAGGCGAGGCACGUAACCUGGGAGAGGAACGUAGCCUGGGUGAGGCACGUAGCCUGGGCGAGGCACGUAGCCUGGGUGAGGCACGUAGCCUGGGCGAGGCACGUAGCCUGAGCGAGGCACGUAGCCUGAGCGAGGCACGUAGCCUGAGACAGGCGCGUAGCCUGCACGAGGCGCGUAGCCUGAGCGAGGCGCGUAGCCUGAGUGAGGCGCGUAGCCUAAGCGAGGCGUGUAGCCUGAGCGAGGCUCGAAGCCUGAGCGAGGCGCGUAGCCUGAGCGAGGCGGGUAACCUGAGCGAGGCGCGUAGCCUGAGCGAGGCGCGUAGCUUGGGCGAGGCGCGUAGCCUGGGCGAGGCGCGUAGCCUGGGCGAGGCGCGUAGCCUGGGCGAGGCGCGUAGCCUGAGUGAGGCACGUAGCCUGAGUGAGGCACGUAGCCUGAGUGAGGCACGUAGCCUGGGUGAGGCACGUAGCCUGAGUGAGGCACGUAGCCUGAGUAAGGCAUGUAGCCCGAGUAAGGCACAUAGCCUGAGUAAUUGUUCAAUCGUAGUUGAACCUUUGUCAUUUUUGUUGUCGACUCCACAUAGCCUGAGUAAGGCACAUGGCCAGUUCAACUCAUAGUUAAAUUUUUUGCUGAAGGCGCAUGGCCUGAAUCUUGUGACAUCGGCAUUUGAGAGCAGAAGCUCGGUUUUGAUUCGAGAUCUUGAGCAGCUCACGUGUGCUCUUCCUGAUCGGGGUAUGUAGGCUUGAGGUGACUCUUGGUCGAGAUAUCUUCAUUCCGAUUUCCGACCAGAUCUCGCAUCAGGGAUGCGGGGGUGCCCUACAGAGAUCCUCCCUCGGGGGGGUCUGCUUCUCCUUCUUCUUCUUUCGCUUUCUCGACAAUGGGGGGGAAUAGGCUUCGCUUUCUUGCCGGAGUUUUCGAGUUCCCUUCACCUGCUGUUUGGCUCAUUUCAGCUGGGUUGCUUUCCCUUUUGGGUGUUUCCUUUCCUUUUUGGUCUGAGGAUGAACUACGCGAUUCUGCUAUGAAGUCUUCACAGACGGCGCCAAAUUGUUUAACUCAAAGUUCUCAUACACUUUAUAAGCAUAAAUCAAUUAAAAUUAAAAUAGGGCUAAUUAUAGCAGAUCGCAAUAAACCAAAAGACCAAGCGAAUAAAACGUAAGAGACAAUAGUUAUUGGUUAAGGGGAGGAGGGUAGAGAUAUUUUAUUGAUGACAUCGAUUUGGUUGCCUCUCCAUGGAGUGGUUCAGAGCCUUACAAUGAUAUAUAUUAUCUUCUUUUUGAAGUCGAGAUGAAGAAGAAGAAGAAGCAGCUCCCUUUUAGGGUUCUUUCUCUUAGUAUUUAUAGCUGUGAACCUUGCCAGAUGGCGCUGGGCGGCCGUGGCCACGUCGAGAGGACGCCUUCAUGAGGGCGGAUAGGUUAUGACAUCCAAUCGGUUAACCAUCAGGUAACCUUAUUAACAAAUGACCGUACCAUUUGUUAAUCAUAAGUGGAUUUAAAACGGAUUGAUUUCGUUAAUUAUCGUGGAGUCAAGUUUUGACCCAUACAAUAUAUAUAUAGAGAGAGAGAUUUCUACAUUCUGAUUCUCAAAGCAAAGAAUCCCAGUUUCUUUUUCUAUUCCAUUGAUUUUCAAGAUCAUUAUUUUACAUAAUUCUUGAAAAAUGGCUUCAUAAACUUUCCCAAAGGUGAAGAGUGAAUCAUCGGAGAGUGGUGGUUCUGAGAGAGGAGCUGCUGAAAAAGGUGAAGAUAACGAUAGUUUUGAAUAUUUUGGUUGGGUUUAUCAUUUGGGUGUUAAUUCGAUUGGACAUGAAUAUUGUCACCUUAGGUUUUUGUACAUUCGUCGCACUGACAUGAAAAUGUACAAAAGAGACCCCCACGAAAAUCCUGCACUGUAAGUGUAAUAUGUUGCGUUUGUUACUUAAUUAGUUUCUUGUUCCUGUCACUUAAGUUUCUUGAUAAUCGAGAGAUACCAAGGGUCAGUCAAAUCUUGGUUGAAUAAUGAGUCUGAUCCUCUAUUCUUCUCCACUUCUGUAUUAGGUUCUUAUUUGCCGCAAGUUUGAAUCCGUGAUGUGCAUCUAACCCCAUACAUCACGAGCUGCAGCUAUUAGCACUAGGUGGAUAGUACUCGUUACGUCUCAUUUAUGUGAUGGACUUUGAUUAGGAAUGACAUUUAAGAAAAAAAGUUUUUUUGAAACUUAUGGUCUAAAAUAUACCGUAUAUAUAUUUUGUGUGGCUAUAAAUUAUCUAAUUAAAAAUAAAAUGAAAACUUUUAAGUAUAAUGUUAAAUUAUUUCUAUAUGUAAAAAGAUAUUAUUCUUUUUGAGAUAGAUUAAAAAGGAAAGAAUGUCACAUAAAUUAUAUAAAAAAAAAGAAGUUUGUAAUUUGUAUCAUGUUAGGUGGAUUAAAAUUGGAAGAAUGUGAUAUGACCUAAAUGAUGGUUAAUGAUGGCUAAAAGGAAGAACUUUUUGAGUCAUGGGUGAGAUCCUUUUGGAUUAGAUGGAGUCUUUUAAGUGUUUCUUGAGUUGCGUUUGCUCGAUAUGACCGUAGAAAUUUCAGUGUAUGUGGCGCUUACUAACUACUGGAUAAUUUCUUAGAAUUGAUUUUAAUUAAACAAAAAUUUAUGUGGAUAAUCAAAAUCGUCAUCUUUAUGUUAAGAAGCACAAAUGAUCAAAUUGUACCUUCUCGAGUCAGCAGAGAGCCGAAUUGAGGUGAAGACCGUGUCGAUGCUUGUGGUAUCUUAGUUUUGACUGAAG